This 70-nucleotide transfer RNA is filed under the name Staphylococcus aureus. It matches the Rfam family "tRNA". Rfam says of the family: Transfer RNA (tRNA) molecules are approximately 80 nucleotides in length. Their secondary structure includes four short double-helical elements and three loops (D, anti-codon, and T loops). Lineage: Bacteria; Bacillati; Bacillota; Bacilli; Caryophanales; Staphylococcaceae. The record is from RNAcentral.
GCCUAUAGCUCAGCUGGUUAGAGCGCACGCCUGAUAAGCUUGAGGUCGGUGGUUCGAGUCCACUUAGGCC